This 27-nucleotide small RNA is filed under the name Bombyx mori (domestic silkworm). Its description in RNAcentral is "ovarian small RNA-12973". The record is from RNAcentral. Lineage: Eukaryota; Metazoa; Arthropoda; Insecta; Lepidoptera; Bombycidae.
CACCUCAGCAUGAGCUUGGCCGUCGAC